GUCGAGGGGCAGCACGAUGUAGCAAUACAUUGGUGGCGACCGGCGCACGGGUGAGUAACGCGUAUGCAACCUACCUAUCAGAGGGGAAUAACCCGGCGAAAGUCGGACUAAUACCGCAUAAAACAGGGGUUCCACAUGGAAAUAUUUGUUAAAGAAUUAUCGCUGAUAGAUGGGCAUGCGUUCCAUUAGAUAGUUGGUGAGGUAACGGCUCACCAAGUCCACGAUGGAUAGGGGUUCUGAGAGGAAGGUCCCCCACACUGGUACUGAGACACGGACCAGACUCCUACGGGAGGCAGCAGUGAGGAAUAUUGGUCAAUGGGCGAGAGCCUGAACCAGCCAAGUCGCGUGAAGGAUGAAGGAUCUAUGGUUUGUAAACUUCUUUUAUAUGGGAAUAAAGUGAGGAACGUGUUCCUUUUUGUAUGUACCAUAUGAAUAAGCAUCGGCUAACUCCGUGCCAGCAGCCGCGGUAAUACGGAGGAUGCGAGCGUUAUCCGGAUUUAUUGGGUUUAAAGGGUGCGUAGGUGGUUAAUUAAGUCAGCGGUGAAAGUUUGUGGCUCAACCAUAAAAUUGCCGUUGAAACUGGUUGACUUGAGUAUAUUUGAGGUAGGCGGAAUGCGUGGUGUAGCGGUGAAAUGCAUAGAUAUCACGCAGAACUCCGAUUGCGAAGGCAGCUUACUAAACUAUAACUGACACUGAAGCACGAAAGCGUGGGGAUCAAACAGGAUUAGAUACCCUGGUAGUCCACGCAGUAAACGAUGAUUACUAGCUGUUUGCGAUACACAGUAAGCGGCACAGC
RNAcentral lists this ribosomal RNA (796 nucleotides) under uncultured bacterium. Its description in RNAcentral is "bacterial SSU rRNA". It matches the Rfam family "Bacterial small subunit ribosomal RNA", at positions 61 to 852 of the family's 1533-position model. The record is from RNAcentral.